AAGUCGUAACAAGGUUUCCGUAGGUGAACCUGCGGAAGGAUCAUUAAUGAUUGGCCUCGGGGCCUUAUCAAUUAUUAAUCCCAACACCUCUGUGAACCGUUUUCGGCCCUCGGGCUGAUCUUUUUACAAUACAAACAUUGUGUAAUGAACGUCUUGUUAUCUUAACAAAACAAAACUUUCAACAACGGAUCUCUUGGCUCUC
Molecule: unclassified non-coding RNA, 202 nt
Filed under: fungal sp.
Lineage: Eukaryota; Fungi
Also listed under: 1 other name
Description: partial internal transcribed spacer region
Rfam family: Eukaryotic small subunit ribosomal RNA (bases 1-46)
Source: RNAcentral